This 321-nucleotide unclassified non-coding RNA is filed under the name uncultured fungus. RNAcentral's name for it is "partial contains small subunit ribosomal RNA, internal transcribed spacer 1, and 5.8S ribosomal RNA". The stretch from base 1 to 73 matches the Rfam family "Eukaryotic small subunit ribosomal RNA", at positions 1759 to 1831 of the family's 1831-position model. Lineage: Eukaryota; Fungi. The record is from RNAcentral.
CCAAACUUGGUCAUUUAGAGGAAGUAAAAGUCGUAACAAGGUUUCCGUAGGUGAACCUGCGGAAGGAUCAUUACCGAGUUAGGGUUCUCUUCGUGAGGCCCGACCUCCCAACCCUUUGUCGAAUCUUACCACUUGUUGCUUCGGCGGGCCCGUCUCCGGACCGCCGGGGGAUCGUCAAAACGUCCUCUGGCCCGCGCCCGUCGAUAGCCCCCUAUUUAAAAAUUCUGAACGAACCACGAUGCUAUCUGAGUACCUACACAAAUAAAAAGCAAAACUUUCAACAACGGAUCUCUUGGUUCUGGCAUCGAUGAAGAACGCAGC